This 499-nucleotide ribosomal RNA is filed under the name uncultured Glomeromycotina. RNAcentral's name for it is "partial small subunit ribosomal RNA". It matches the Rfam family "Eukaryotic small subunit ribosomal RNA", at positions 591 to 1092 of the family's 1831-position model. Lineage: Eukaryota; Fungi; Glomeromycota. The record is from RNAcentral.
CCAAUAGCGUAUAUUAAAGUUGUUGCAGUUAAAAAGCUCGUAGUUGAAUUUCGGGAUCGGAUUGUUGGUCGUGCUUCGGUACGUACUGGCAUUAUUGGUUCCUACCUUCUGAAGAACCGCGAUGUCAUUAAUUUGGUGUCGUGGGGAAUCAGGACUGUUACUUUGAAAAAAUUAGAGUGUUUAAAGCAGGCUUACGCUUGAAUACAUUAGCAUGGAAUAAUGAAAUAGGACGUUUGAUUCUAUUUUGUUGGUUUCUAGGAUCGACGUAAUGAUUAAUAGGGAUAGUUGGGGGCAUUAGUAUUCAAUUGUCAGAGGUGAAAUUCUUGGAUUUAUUGAAGACUAACUACUGCGAAAGCAUUUGCCAAGGAUGUUUUCAUUAAUCAAGAACGAAAGUUAGGGGAUCGAAGACGAUCAGAUACCGUCGUAGUCUUAACCAUAAACUAUGCCGACUAGGGAUCGGAUGAUGUUAAUUUUUUAAUGACUCAUUCGGCGCCUUACG